This is a non-coding RNA of Cordylochernes scorpioides, 363 nucleotides long. The record is from the annotation of a GenBank genome assembly. NCBI's taxonomy places the organism in Eukaryota, Metazoa, Arthropoda, Arachnida, Pseudoscorpiones, Chernetidae.
UCCAAGGUAGUCUAGUGGACAUGACAUCUGCCCGGUAAGCGGGACAUUGCGACAAUUGACAAUUAUAAAUGGUUUAUUAACAUCUAGUAAACAGUCAAGAGAGAGUUUACAGAGUUUAAAAUAGUAGAGAAAAUAUAUACACCAGACGAAGCCUCCUCCGAAGGUACGUCUGGAUCCUAUCAGGAGCUUAGAACCGUCUUGAGUUCAGACUUGAGAGUUAUGGAAUCCGUGUUCCCAGCGAUGACUGUGUUGAGGAACUUGACAAGAAUAAUCUUGUGUUUAGGUAAGGUAUCCGCGAGGAAACUAAGAUGGGGGUACAGGACCGCAUGCGGAACACUGUGGGUUCGAUUCCCUUCCUUGGAC